Molecule: ribosomal RNA, 855 nt
Filed under: Platambus maculatus
Lineage: Eukaryota; Metazoa; Arthropoda; Insecta; Coleoptera; Dytiscidae
Description: SSU rRNA
Rfam family: Eukaryotic small subunit ribosomal RNA
Source: RNAcentral
UAUUAAAGUUGUUGCGGUUAAAAAGCUCGUAGUUGAAUCUGUGCUCGCGCUGUCGGUUCACCGCCCGCGGUGUUAAAUUGGCACGCCCGCGAGAUGUCCUGCCGGUGGAAGCGCGCGCGCGUCAAGGCCCCCGUCGCGCCCGCGCGGCCGGUCGCGUUCGCCUACCGCGGCGCUCUUCGCUGAGUGUCGAGGUGGGCCGGCACGUUUACUUUGAACAAAUUAGAGUGCUCAAAGCAGGCUAAAACUUCGCCUGAAUACUGUGUGCAUGGAAUAAUGGAACAGGACCUCGGUUCUAUUUUGUUGGUUUUCGGAACCCUGAGGUAAUGAUCAAUAGGGACAGAUGGGGGUAUUCGUAUUGCGACGUUAGAGGUGAAAUUCUUGGACGUCGCAAGACGGACAGAAGCGAAAGCAUUUGCCAAAAAUGUUUUCAUUAAUCAAGAACGAAAGUCAGAGGUUCGAAGGCGAUCAGAUACCGCCCUAGUUCUGACCAUAAACGAUGCCAGCUAGCGAUCCGCCGACGUUCCUCCGAUGACUCGGCGGGCAGCUUCCGGGAAACCAAAGCUUUUGGGUUCCGGGGGAAGUAUGGUUGCAAAGCUGAAACUUAAAGGAAUUGACGGAAGGGCACCACCAGGAGUGGAGCCUGCGGCUUAAUUUGACUCAACACGGGAAAUCUCACCAGGCCCGGACACCGGAAGGAUUGACAGAUUGAGAGCUCUUUCUUGAUUCGGUGGGUGGUGGUGCAUGGCCGUUCUUAGUUGGUGGAGUGAUUUGUCUGGUUAAUUCCGAUAACGAACGAGACUCUAGCCUGCUAACUAGGCGUUACUUUCCGGCAUCUCGAAGGCUCGCGUCUCCCGU